GGAGAGAUGGCAGAGCCUGGUUGAAUGCACCACACUCGAAAUGUGGCGUCCGCUUCGGCGGACCGGGGGUUCGAAUCCCUCUCUCUCCG
This 89-nucleotide transfer RNA is filed under the name Fidelibacterota bacterium. RNAcentral's name for it is "tRNA-Ser". It matches the Rfam family "tRNA". Rfam says of the family: Transfer RNA (tRNA) molecules are approximately 80 nucleotides in length. Their secondary structure includes four short double-helical elements and three loops (D, anti-codon, and T loops). RNAcentral also lists the same sequence under 1 other name. The record is from RNAcentral. Lineage: Bacteria; Pseudomonadati; Fidelibacterota.